This is a long non-coding RNA of Hibiscus syriacus, 349 nucleotides long. RefSeq lists it as uncharacterized. Lineage: Eukaryota; Viridiplantae; Streptophyta; Magnoliopsida; Malvales; Malvaceae. The record is from RefSeq and is a predicted model, not a curated record. The transcript is spliced from 4 exons.
ACUAAAAAUGUUAUUCUUGCAAAGGAGGAAUUGUCUCUCGACAUUGAUUUUGAUGCUGUUGCGAGUAUGACAGAAGGAUACUCCGGGAGUGAUCUUAAGAAUCUAUGUGUAACUGCUGCACACAAUCCUAUUAAAGAAAUUCUGGAAAAGGAGAAAAAGGAACGAGCUGCUGCUCUAGCAGAAAGCAAACCUCCUCCCUCUUUAAGUGGGGACGCCGAUAUGCUCUCCAAACAUGGCGGACUUCAGAUAUGCUCGCGAGCUGGUAUGUGAGAGCAUAUCGUCCGAGUCUGUAAACAUGACUGAGCUUCUUCAAUGGGAUGAGCUCUAUGGAGAGGGUGGCUCUAGAAGA